GACGAACGCUGGCGGCGUGCUUAACACAUGCAAGUCGAACGGGUCUGCCCUGUUUUUUGCGGGGUGGGUCAGUGGCGAACGGGUGAGUAACACGUGAGUAACCUGCCCCUCACUUCUGGAUAACCGCUUGAAAGGGUGGCUAAGACGGGGUGUUCUGGCUGUGCCGCAUGGUUUGUCGGGGAAAGCUUCACUUUUGUGGUGUUUUGGUGGGGGAUGGGCUCGCGGCCUAUCGGCUUGUUGGGGGGGGGAUGGCCUGCCAAGGCUUUGGCGGGUAGCCGGCCGGAGAGGGAGGGCGGUCACACUGGGACUGCGAUCCGGACCAGACUGCUGCGGGGGGGAGCAGUGGGUGGUACUGCACGCUGGGCGGUAGCCCGAUGCAGCGACGUCGCGUGAGAGAUGCAUGCCUUCGUGUUGUGACCCUCUUUCGCCGGUGAAGAAGGUCCUGCUCUUUGUGGUGGGGUUGCCGGAAGCCGGGUUAUGACGCGCCGUAUAACUACG
This 498-nucleotide ribosomal RNA is filed under the name uncultured bacterium. Its description in RNAcentral is "partial 16S ribosomal RNA". It matches the Rfam family "Bacterial small subunit ribosomal RNA", at positions 28 to 505 of the family's 1533-position model. The record is from RNAcentral.